Molecule: ribosomal RNA, 256 nt
Filed under: uncultured bacterium
Lineage: Bacteria
Description: partial 16S ribosomal RNA
Rfam family: Bacterial small subunit ribosomal RNA
Source: RNAcentral
UACGGGGGGAGCAAGCGUUGUUCGGAUUUACUGGGCGUAAAGGGCGCGUAGGCGGCCAGCACAAGUCAGUUGUGAAAUCUCCGAGCUUAACUCGGAAAGGUCAACUGAUACUGUGCGGCUAGAGUGCAGAAGGGGCAACUGGAAUUCUUGGUGUAGCGGUGAAAUGCGUAGAUAUCAAGAGGAACACCUGCGGCGAAGGCGGGUUGCUGGGCUGACACUGACGCUGAAGCGCGAAAGCCAGGGGGAGACGGAACGG